Non-coding RNA from Triticum aestivum (bread wheat), 115 nucleotides. NCBI's taxonomy places the organism in Eukaryota, Viridiplantae, Streptophyta, Magnoliopsida, Poales, Poaceae. The record is from Rfam.
CUUGUACUUCCUCCGUUCUGAAUUACUUAUCGCAAAUAUGGAUGUAUCUAGAUGUAUUUUAGUCCUAGAUACAUCCAUUUUUAUGACGAGUAAUUUGGAACGGAGGGAGUAGUAC